UACGAAGGGGGCUAGCGUUGCUCGGAAUCACUGGGCGUAAAGGGUGCGUAGGCGGGUUUUUAAGUCAGGGGUGAAAUCCUGGAGCUCAACUCCAGAACUGCCUUUGAUACUGAAGAUCUUGAGUCCGGGAGAGGUGAGUGGAACUGCGAGUGUAGAGGUGAAAUUCGUAGAUAUUCGGAAGAACACCAGUGGCGAAGGCGGCCCGCUGGACAGGUAUUGACGCUGAGGUGCGAAAGCGUGGGGAGCAAACAGG
RNAcentral lists this ribosomal RNA (253 nucleotides) under uncultured bacterium. RNAcentral describes it as "partial 16S ribosomal RNA". It matches the Rfam family "Bacterial small subunit ribosomal RNA", at positions 524 to 776 of the family's 1533-position model. The record is from RNAcentral.